Molecule: ribosomal RNA, 504 nt
Filed under: uncultured fungus
Lineage: Eukaryota; Fungi
Description: SSU rRNA
Rfam family: Eukaryotic small subunit ribosomal RNA
Source: RNAcentral
GAUUCAUGAUAACUUCUCGAAUCGCAUGGCCUUGCGCCGGCGAUGGUUCAUUCAAAUUUCUUCCCUAUCAACUUUCGAUGUUUGGGUAUUGGCCAAACAUGGUUGCAACGGGUAACGGAGGGUUAGGGCUCGACCCCGGAGAAGGAGCCUGAGAAACGGCUACUACAUCCAAGGAAGGCAGCAGGCGCGCAAAUUACCCAAUCCCGACACGGGGAGGUAGUGACAAUAAAUACUGAUACAGGGCUCUUUUGGGUCUUGUAAUUGGAAUGAGUACAAUUUAAAUCCCUUAACGAGGAACAAUUGGAGGGCAAGUCUGGUGCCAGCAGCCGCGGUAAUUCCAGCUCCAAUAGCGUAUAUUAAAGUUGUUGUGGUUAAAAAGCUCGUAGUUGAACCUUGGGCCUGGCUGGCCGGUCCGCCUCACCGCGUGUACUGGUCCGGCCGGGCCUUUCCCUCUGUGGAACCCCAUGCCCUUCACUGGGUGUGGCGGGGAACCAGGACUUUUAC